Molecule: RNA transcript, 2275 nt
Organism: Homalodisca vitripennis (glassy-winged sharpshooter)
Lineage: Eukaryota; Metazoa; Arthropoda; Insecta; Hemiptera; Cicadellidae
Gene name: tropomyosin-1, isoforms 33/34-like
Exons: 16
Source: RefSeq, a predicted model, not a curated record
GCCCUGAGCAAGAAACCCGAGUAUCGUCACCGCAUACCUGAUGUUGUAACCUGGGUACAAACUGGCAGCGUGGCCCCCUCCUAGUCGCCAGUUGGAUUACCGGAGCACAACGAUUACCAUAUAUUACAUGUAACUACUUCUCAUAAUUGGAUAUAAGAUAAAAAUUCCAUUUGAAUAAACUAUGGCUGAUGAAGAGGCACCACCACCAGCGGAAGCGCCUCCAGAGGAAGCCCCCGCAGAAACUGGAGAUGCUCCUCCUCCACCCCCGCCGGCUGAAGGCGAAGCACCUCCUGCUCCUGUUGAGGGUGGUGAGGGUGCUCCGCCACCAUCAGCUGAAGGAGGGGAAGGAGCGCCUCCACCUCCACCUGCAGAAGGUGGAGAGGGUGGAGAAGCUCCUCCAGUGGAAGAAGGACCACCUCCUCCACCAGUUGACGAGAAAGCUUUGGCGGCAGAAUUAAAAAAACAAAGAGAAGAGGAGGAAGCUAUCAGGAAGCAGAUCGCAAUUGAGAUGAGAAAGGCAGAGCUGCGAGCUAAGAUAGAGGAAGCGUCCAAGGCUAGGCGAGCCAAGAAAGGAUUUAUGACUCCAGAGAGGAAGAAAAAACUUAGGCUGUUGCUGAGGAAAAAAGCCGCUGAGGAAAUCAAAAAGGAACAAGAAAGGCAGGCGGAAGAGAGAAUCAGGAUUAUAGAGGAGCGAUGUGGUACACCUGAGGAUUUGGAUUGGGGAAUGGAAGAUGAUUUGGCUGAGAUUUGCGAAGACUAUUGGAAUAGAUGCAAACAAAUCGAAAGCAAGAAAUGGGAUAUAGAGAGGAAAUUCAUGUUGCAAGUUUACGCCAUUGCCGAAUUGAAUGCACAAGUAAACGACCUUAGAGGAAAGUUCCAAAAACCAAUUUUGAAGAAAGUAUCGAAAUACGAAAAUAAGUUUGCCAAACUGCAAAGAAAAGCAGCGGAAUAUAACUUUAGAAACCAACUGAAGAUGGUCAAAAAGCCCGAAUUCAUGCUUAAGGACGAAGAGAAAAAGAGAAAGGAUGCUGAAGAAAAGAAGGCGGCAGAAGAAAAAGCGGCUGCAGCAGCUGAAGGAGCAGAAGGUGCACCAGCCGAAGGGGCAGAAGGAGCGCCAGCAGCAGAAGGUGCCCCUGGUCCCGAAGGAGAAAAGCCGGAGGGUGCUCCUGCAGAAGGUCAACCACCUGCAGAAGGAGCUGCCCCAGCUGAAGGUGCUCCUGCUGAAGCUGCACCCGAGGCUGAAGCUCCACCUCCUGAACCAGUGGAACCUCCACCACCACCGGAACCAGAACACACCGAAGAAGAAUUAUGGAUGUACAUCAAGGAAGCCGUCACGAACGCCUGCCCAAUGACCAUUGAUGACCUUGUCAAGAAGAUGAUAGACUGUGUUCAGGCUGUACCACAAGGGUACCUCAAACCUGUCGUGGAAGCUUCUAUCAAGAGAUCUCAAAGCUUGGACCUUGGUGGCCUUGCCUUAGGAGAAGCACCACCAGCUGAAGGGGCAGCACCGCCUGCAGAAGGAGCACCUGCCCCUGCUGCAGAAGGAGCGCCAGCCCCAACUGCAGAUGGAGCACCAGCACCUACUGCUGAAGGGACGCCUGCUCCUGCGGCUGAAGGCACUGCUGCCCCAGCUGCUGAAGGAGCUCCAGCCGCACCACCUGCUGAGGGUGCACCCACUGAGGGAGCUCCUGCACCAGCUCCAAGUGCUGAAGCACCUGCAGCAGCAGAAGCCGCACCUGCUCCGGCAGAGACUGCUCCAGCUCCGGCUGUCGCUCCACCAGCAGAUUCUGCUCCGGCGCCAGCUGAGGCUCCUCCUGCACCUGCAGAAGCUGCACCGGCACCUGCAGAAGCUCCACCUGCACCUGCUGAAUCUGCACCUCCAUCCGAAGCCCCUCCGGCGGACUCGGCCCCAACAGAAGUGUCAGCCCAAGCUUCUAUGGGUAGGAGAAUGACAAUCCUUAGUAAUCCCUUAGGAUGGGGUUCAGUUGCAAUUAAUGAUUAGAUUCGAAUUACCUGAUCCGACUAGUCCAACUGCGCCGAAAGAGCUCAAUCAAAUAAGAGCUUGAUGUACUCGAAAUUUCGUCCGAUUCGACUUCACUUUGGCUGUUUUGACUUCGUGAUGCAUGCAAGUUACCGUGAAAUCGCUGAAGUGAUUCAAUAUUCAACUGAAUAUUCGUUUGAAGAUUUUAUUGUACUUCAUAACUAAAUCUAGUGAUUCAUAUGAUGUUUUAAUGUUUUUUAACAAUAUGAAUAACAAUAAAAAUCGACCACAUUA